This 4145-nucleotide long non-coding RNA is filed under the name Carica papaya (papaya). Its description in RNAcentral is "long non-coding RNA (CPAP_LNC010002)". The record is from RNAcentral. Lineage: Eukaryota; Viridiplantae; Streptophyta; Magnoliopsida; Brassicales; Caricaceae.
GUUACUCAUAACUCACGCAUUAUCCAAGCCCAACACAGGCUCCUUCUCCACGGUGCCGUUUAACGCUGAAACAGAAGCAAAUGGACAUGAACGGUCGAGAGGAGAGAUAACACGCAGAGUGUAUUGAAGAAGCUUCUGGAGAAAUACAUGCGGCGGAGAAACGAGAAAGGAAGAGAGAAGCUGGCGGGCGAAUAUUUUUGGAGAGAGGAGAGUUGAUGAUUUCUGGGGAAGAAGAAGAUAACAGAAGGGAGAGGGUUUUUCCGAAUCAAUAUGGAGUCUUAUUAGGUUUUGUUAAAGGGGAGGAAGUGAUUGAAGAAGGAAACACAAAGAGGCUUUGGAAUAGGGUGGGUUAAUUUCGGAUUGGCUAUUAGUUUCCUUUGUCUUCUCCGUUUUUUGAAACCAGUUUGUUGGUACGCAUUUCAGUUUUCUGAUAGUUUGAGGUUUUUCCCCUGCUAAUAUGUGUUUUUCCUUUUUGUUAAGAAAAAUAACUACUCUGUUCUCUGAGAUUGAUUAGAAUAGGAUGAUCUUUUGGUUUUUGUAUUUUCUUCUUUCCCUUUAAUGUCAUUUGCUUACAGUCACUUAUAUUAGUUUUCAUAUUGUGAUUAUUCUCGUCUGGAUUUGGAGAAAUGAUUUUUAGUUUGUUGGAAGUAGAAUUUUAUGGUUUUCUUCUUGUAAGUUCUUUUCGGAAAUAAUUUCACCAUACAAAUUAUGAAAUAAAAGAAAGAACUAGAACACACACCAAAUAACUGGUUCAGGACCACUUCCACUUGGCUAACUCCAUGGGAACUUACUAUUAUUCCGAUCACUAUAAUAUACAAAGAGAAGUAGUAUAAACACCGCGCAGAAUUCUCACUCUUCGUUACACCUGGUACACAGACUCAAGUUAUCUUGUACUAGAUCUCAAUGUCUUAACAUUUUUUACCUCCCCCUUUAUUCUUGCAAUUCACUACACUCUCUCUACUCCCAUACAACAUGUGCUCCAUUUAGGGGAAAAAGAGGAAGGGAACAAAAGGUUGAGGUAGGUGGAAUAUCAUCCGCCAGGCACCACGCUCAAGUUAGAAGUCAACAUUUCUCCCUUUUACACUCAUAUAUGGUUACUUGGAAAAACAAAAACAAAACAAAUUACCAAAUCCUAACACACAGAUAAAUUUGGCCUUCCUUCAAAUUACAUCACCGCCAUCAAGCACCAAAUUUAUUGUGUUAUCAUUGUCGUUUUUCUUCUCUCCUUUACCUCUUUUCAACUGCUUGGAGGUUCUUAGAUUAUCUGCUUUGCAUUUUCCCAGUAGUAGCAUGCAUGUAUGUAUAUCUUAGUUGAGACUCUCCACGAGGGUGACCUCUCCCUCGUCAAUGACUCUUCUCCCUUGUCAUGAGUUCUUCACAACUAAAUUUUCCUUUAACAUAUUUUUCUCAUUCGCCUUAGUUGGUGACAUAAGAUAGGAACAUGGUUAAAUUUACUUGAUCUCNNNNNNNNNNNNNNNNNNNNNNNNNNNNNNNNNNNNNNNNNNNNNNNNNNNNNNNNNNNNNNNNNNNNNNNNNNNNNNNNNNNNNNNNNNNNNNNNNNNNNNNNNNNNNNNNNNNACAACUAAUUAGGAAUAGAAUUAAAAAUAAUACUGAACUAGCAACCUACUUAGAAAUGUGAAUCUAAAAAUAAAUAUCAAUGCUUUAAAUGAUAAUAAUACUAGUAGCAUUUCUAUAAUGCUUCUUUGUAUCAUUCUCCCCCACUUAAAGAAAACUUGUCUUCGAGUUUUGAAAUGUCCAAAAAUAAUAGAACUCAAUCGAUGCACAUUUGAAAAAUUUUGUUGGAAAUCCUUUGACUUGUUGCUCUUAUGAGGAAAAAUAUUUGGCAACAGAAAUAUGAUUGAAGGUUGAUAAAACCAAGAUGGUCGAACAAACUUAAAAAAAUUAAAAACUUUCUUUCUUGGUUUGCUCAUUAGAUUCAAUAUCAAUAGCCUUAUAUCCUAUAAAAAAAUCAAUAACUUUAUCAUAUUUUCAAGAAAAAAAUCAAUAGCUUUAUCUUUCCAUGAAGCAUGUUUAUUAGUUGUAGGAUUAUUUUUACCAUGAAGUUGAUCAUCUUCUUGUUCUUGGGCUUGCGACUUACUUUACUCCUCUACUUGUUCUUGUAUUAUUUCUUCUACUUGAUUUUCCAUCCCUUCUUCAUAUAGCUCAAGCUCUUGUCAUGACUUUUCAUUUUCCAUUUCUUUUUACCAUGCGUAAAAUGCCUGUAAGCUUGGCCAGAAGGAGUUACUGUUUCUACAUCAGCAACUGUUGAUUUGUUAGGACUCAUAACUUAUUAAUUUAAUAUGAGAUGAGCCUGAAACUUAUUUUAUGCUCAUGUUAAUUAAGAUUUGUUUUGUGUUUGAUUGGUUAUUGAUUUUUACCUUAAUUAAUUUUACUAUAUUUAUCUAUGGAUUUUUUGAUGUCAGAAAAUACUACACGAAUGAGCAAUUAACCCAAAACAGGAAUUGGUGGCUAAAUUGUCAAUGUUUUAUUCCUAUUAUUUCUCACUUCAUUUUCUGUUACAUUACAAAAGUUUACGAGAAAUUUUCUGAACUUCUUCUACUGCUUUUAUUUAUUGAAGAGGCUGGUUUUUAUAGAGAAACAUGAGAAUAAACCUGUCACUGAAUCUCGGAUUAAAAAAGUAAAAAGAAUUUGCUUGAUUUAAGGGACAAACUUUGACUAGAUAAGGUAUGGAGAUAUUAGAUAUCUCCUUAUUAAAAAAUACUGGAAUUAGUAUCCCAAAAAUCAUAAAUAAACUAGGAAUUGAUCUCUUGGCUGAUUUAUCCCUAGCAAUUAGGAAUUAAUCUCUUUGCUGAUUUUUCUCACUUACCGAUGCUCCCACUUAAGCUGCUGCAUAGAUAUCUAUCAUGCACAAGGUGCUGAAAAGUUCUUUUGUGAGAAUAUUAGGUAUUUAUUGUGAUAUUGGAACAAAUUGCAUGCAUAUAACUCAUGCUUCAAACUUUUCCUUUAUUAUGUGCUUGUUAAUUUCAACAUGCUUUUUUCUAUCGUAUUGAACUGCACUGUGCGUAAUGCUAAUAGCUGUUAUGUUGUCAUAGUACAGCUUCACAGGCAUGGUUGUUGAUCUCUUUAGUUCCUUUAAAACUCGUUUCAGCCAUGCCAUCAACCCCAUGAGCCAUUGAUCGGUAUUCAGCCUCUGCAAUAUAUGUUUUGUUUCUUACUUCUCUAAGUCAUUAAGUUCCUUUGUAUAAAGGUCCAAUAGCCUAAUAUUGAUUUCCCAUUAGUGGUUCAGCCUGCGCAAUCUGCCUCUAUGUAUACCUCUUUCUUUUCAUGUUUUUUGAAGAAUAAACGCUUUCCUGGUGAGCUUUUCAAGGACCUCAGAAUUUGAUAUAUAGCUUCAAGGUGUUCUUCAUGAGGGGAAUGCAUAAAUUGACUCACAAAGCUUAUUGCAAAUGCAAUAUCUCAUGUAUGUGACAAGUAAAUAAGUUUCUCAACUAACUUUGGGUACUUGGGUACUGUGAUGUGUCCACUGGACAAUAGGAGUUUCUGCGGGGGACGAUAAGUACUCAUUCUUGUUUCAUUGGGCAAAUCAAUGAUGUGUUUCCUCUGCGAGAUUGAUAUUCCUUUUUUUUUUUGGUUAUGCUACUUUUCUUCCAAGAAAAUAUCUCAGUGAUCCCAAGUCUUUAAUCUCAAACUCAAACGCAAGACUCUUCUCAUUGGUUGUGUGUUUUCUGAACAUGGUAUGAUUAGUCUGUCCUUGAAUAUAUCCCUGGUCUUUUGCAAAUUGGAUGAACUUCUCAAAUUAGACUCUUGGAGAUUGUUUCGAACGUAGAGGGAGUUUUUAAAUUUUCAAACUUCUCAUCAAAAUUUAGUGGUUUAUUUCUUUUAAGUCUCUAUUAAAGAAUGUAUUUUUUACAUCUAAUUGCUGGAGAGGUUAGUUGAGGUUGACUGCAAUUGUUGUAGAGGCCAACGAGUUGUGGAGGCUCAUUGGGGUAUCGGUUAAAUGGGAGAAGAUACUAGGGGUGUGACUAAACCUCAUGGUUUGGGACUUUGGAAAAAAAUCGGCAUGGGGAAACAUAAAUUUUACGAAUGCACCAAGUGGAAGUUGGGGAAAGGUGAUAGUAUUUGUUAUUGAAAGGAUGAAUGGGUUGGAGGGGGUAGGCUCAAAGAUCAAUUUCUAAAGGAUUUUU